RNAcentral lists this ribosomal RNA (460 nucleotides) under uncultured bacterium. RNAcentral's name for it is "partial 16S ribosomal RNA". It matches the Rfam family "Bacterial small subunit ribosomal RNA", at positions 338 to 795 of the family's 1533-position model. The record is from RNAcentral.
CCUACGGGAGGCAGCAGUGAGGAAUAUUGGUCAAUGGCCGGAAGGCUGAACCAGCCAUGCCGCGUGAAGGUCAGUGCCCUAUGGGCGUUAAACUUCUUUUGUGCGGGAGCAAUAAUGGUCACGUGUGGCCAGACGAGAGUACCGUACGAAUAAGCAUCGGCUAACUCCGUUCCAGCAGCCGCGGUAAUACGGGGGAUGCAAGCCUUAACCGGAUUUAUUGGGUUUAAAGGGUGCGUAGGCUGUGAGGUAAGUCAGCGGUGAAAUGCCCCCGCUCAACGGGGUGAAGUGCCAUUGAUACUGCCUGGCUGGAAUGCGGAUGCCGUGGGAGGAAUGUGUGGUGUAGCGGUGAAAUGCAUAGAUAUCACACAGAACACCGAUUGCGAAGGCAUCUCACGAAUCCGCGAUUGACGCUGAUGCACGAAAGCGUGGGUAUCAAACAGGAUUAGAUACCCGGGUAGUC